GGUUCCUAUGUGUGUUUUGAGUGCUAAUAUGGAUUGUGUUAAUUUUUUGUAUUUAUAUUCCAUCGAUUAAUUAGCCUUCAAUUAAGGGACAUAAUUUUUUUUUUUUUAAAUUGAUGAUAAACGACAAAUAUGAUGUGAAAUAGCUUUGUCAGUAAAGUAUUCAUGUCAAACACUCUAAUUUCAUUGAAAUUCACCUGAAAUGAAGGAAUCUUUGUUUAUAUAUGAGUGAAUUCUCUCAUUCUCUCAUCCUCUCAUCC
RNAcentral lists this long non-coding RNA (257 nucleotides) under Salvia miltiorrhiza (redroot sage). RNAcentral's name for it is "long non-coding RNA (SMIL_LNC012550)". Lineage: Eukaryota; Viridiplantae; Streptophyta; Magnoliopsida; Lamiales; Lamiaceae. The record is from RNAcentral.